RNAcentral lists this unclassified non-coding RNA (377 nucleotides) under plant metagenome. RNAcentral's name for it is "partial contains 5.8S ribosomal RNA, internal transcribed spacer 2, and large subunit ribosomal RNA". The stretch from base 1 to 104 matches the Rfam family "5.8S ribosomal RNA", at positions 51 to 154 of the family's 154-position model. The record is from RNAcentral.
AAAUGCGAUAAGUAAUGUGAAUUGCAGAAUUCGGUGAAUCAUCGAAUCUUUGAACGCACCUUGCGCUCCUUGGUAUUCCUUGGAGCAUGCCUGUUUGAGUAUCAUGAAAUCUUCAAAGUAAAUCUUUUGUUAACUCAAUUGGUUUCUACUUUGGUAUUGGAGGUCUUUGCAGCUUCACACCUGCUCCUCUUUGUUCAUUAGCUGGAUCUCAGUGUUAUGCUUGGUUCCACUCGGCGUGAUAAGUUAUCUAUCGCUGAGGACACUGUAAAAGGUGGCCAAGGUAAAUGCAGAUGAACCGCUUCUAAUAGUCCAUUGACUUGGACAAUACUUUUAUGAUCUGAUCUCAAAUCAGGUAGGACUACCCGCUGAACUUAAGC